AACGAACGCUGGCGGCGGGCUUAACACAUGCAAGUCGAACGGAAAGGCCCCAUUGGGGGUACCUGACUGGCGAACGGUUGCGUAACACGUGGGUAACCUUCCCUUGACUUUGGGUUAACUGCAGGAAACUGGGGCUACUACCGGUUAGGAGCCCCUCCUGCAUCGGGGGGGUUGGAAAGUUCCGGCGGCCGGGGCUGGACUCGCGGCUCAUCGUCGUGUUGGUGGGGUAGUGGCUUACCAAGGCUUUGACGGGUAGCCGGCCUGAGAGGGUGACCGGCCACAUUGGGACUGAGGUACGGCCCAGACGCCAACGGGAGGCAGCAGUGGGGAAUAUUGCACAAUGGGCGGAAGCCUGAGGCAGCGACGCCGCGGGCGGGAUGACGGCCUGCGGGUUGUAAACCGCUUUCGCCUGUGACGAAGCGUGAGUGACGGUAAUGGGUAAAGAAGCACCGGCUAACUACGUG
Molecule: ribosomal RNA, 464 nt
Filed under: uncultured bacterium
Lineage: Bacteria
Description: partial 16S ribosomal RNA
Rfam family: Bacterial small subunit ribosomal RNA
Source: RNAcentral